GGGGCGCGGGGGCCGCUCCCGGGCGGCCCUGCCGACCGGCCGCCGCGCCGGAUUCCCUCAGGGCUUCUCGCAGCACCUCCCUCGCCUGCCUCCGCCCCCACCCCCGGCCGCGUCCAGCGGCUGCCCCAGCUGCUGGGGACGGCCGCCGCGUCUCCUUCGUCCGGUGUCGAGCGGGCAAGGUGGUGGGGCGGCGGCGCCGGACGGGACGGGACGGGACGAGACGGGACGGGACGGACGGUCCCCCGGGGCCAGGUGAGCGGCUGCUGGGCUGGCGGGAGGAGAGGCGGCCGGAGGCGGCGGGCGGUCGAGGGCGAGGAGGGACGGGGAAAGCGCAGGCUGCGAAGGUGGGAGUCGCCCUGCGUUGCCGGGCUUGAGGUGAGCGAGUCUCCAGGGCGGGGCGGCAGAGGUGCGCGGCUCUCCGUGGAUGGGCUUUCCCGCCCACCCCUCCCCGUGGGGGGACGACGGGGGUGACGGCAGAAGGGUCGGGCGGGAAAGGCUGGCGGAGGAGGGCAGGUCGGGGAGGCUUAGGCUCCCCGCUUAGUCACGUUCCCCUCACGGAUCCUUCCUUCCCCUUGAGUGGCGCUUUGGGGGUUUGGGCCGGCCGGGCGGCUGCGCUUGGCUGAGGGGAGACCCCGCCUGCAGAGCGUGCUGCGGGGAGGGGGCCGCGCGCUGCCGAGGCCGUUGGCGGCCGUUGGUGGCCGUUGGUGGCCCUUGGGACUGUCGGCCGGGCCGGCUGCGGGGUGUGAGGCCACGGUAAGGGGACUGCGGGGGACGCCUUUCCGAGCUCGUCUUGUUGGGGCACCUCUCUUCUUACCAGAAUGGUUGCCCGGGGAAAACAGCACUGCUAUGUUGGCAGAAUACAGGACGUUUUCUUGAGAUUCGGGAUUGUUCUAACAGUCCUUUUACUUCAUUUGUUCCUGGCCACAGCAAGCAAAGAUCAGGAGGAUUUCCUAGGACGCUAUAAAGCCAUCUUUAAGACUGCAUGUGAGGAUCCUUGGAUUAUGUCACCAAGAAUUUCUCUGCAUCCCUUGAAAGAAUUCAUUGUCUGUGUGCACCUCAAGCUAUAUUCCUCAAAUAGUCCCUGGACAGCAUAUGUAUACAGCCAGGAAACAUCUCACAGCAAUGUCUCUGCAAAUAAGUAUGAUCUUGGACUUACAGGAGAUCAUGGUAAAUUGAGGAUAUGGUUGUUUGGAAAACAAAUACAUACAACAGCAAGACUUCGUGACAACACUUGGAAUGACAUAUGUAUCCAGUGGAAAAGUGAAGAUGAGGAGAUGAAGGUAUUUAUAAAUGGAACAAAAAAAGUAAGCAAAAAAAUAACUGGGAAAGUUAAUCUCCCUGGAAAAGGACAGUUCUUACUUGGCUGUUCAAAGCUGCCAGGUACAGCUAUAUCACCUAACCUGGGUAUGACAGGGGAGCUCUACAUGUUCAGAAUGUGGGAUAAAGCAAAUAUAAAGCAAUCGGAGGACUGUGAAGAUAGUGGUGUUAUACGCUGGAGAAAGGAGGAUUGGGUCUAUAAUAAGACCAUAGAAGAGGAUAACUCUUUGCCAUGUGUUGAAACUACUGCUACGUUGCCUGGCAGAAAACAGAUAACAGGUAAUGGAGGUUCUGUAUGUUUUUUUCCCCAUUGUUCUUGUAUUUUGGAAAGUGCAUAAUGAAGAUUGCUGAUAGUAUUACUUUUUAAUUUAUGGAGAUAGUUAAGUAUAUGUAAAUAUUUGCAAAUUAAUUAUCCAUAUCAUCCUUGUGGCUUAUUAGCAUAUUUCAUGGUGCAAACAACAUCAGUAAUUUUCCAGAGAAAAUGAAAAUAAGGUCACUGAGGUUACUCCGAUUCUCCUUUCAUUGCAGAAAUUAUAUUUACAUUUAUCCUUUGGAAAGAAGCUAUUACUAGUUUUCAGUAAGGCAAGCAAAAUACUCUGAGCAAGGAAUCAUGUGAGUGAUUAGCAUUUCAGGAACUCCUUGUUUACUCCUUGUUUCAGGUAUCUCUGAAUAACUCUUCUACAAUAGUAGGAAAGGCCUUACAGUGUAAUUAGUGCAUUGUGAGUAACAAUCUAG
Molecule: long non-coding RNA, 2052 nt
Filed under: Calidris pygmaea (Spoon-billed sandpiper)
Lineage: Eukaryota; Metazoa; Chordata; Aves; Charadriiformes; Scolopacidae
Description: lncRNA (ENSCPGG00000004042.1)
Source: RNAcentral